This 496-nucleotide non-coding RNA is filed under the name Pan troglodytes (chimpanzee). Lineage: Eukaryota; Metazoa; Chordata; Mammalia; Primates; Hominidae. The record is from RNAcentral.
CCUGUUCCCGGGAAUGGCAGGGGCGCCCGCGCGAGGAGGGUCGCCGGGACAGCCGCCUCUCCUCCAAGCUGGAGCAGCCGUGACCCAGAUUACGACCGCGGCGGCCUCGCCCUGCCUAAUCCCCCCCUCUUCUUCCUCCAGGGGCACCCUUUGGAGAAGAACCCCAGCCUGGGGUGGGGACGCACCGGCUCUCCGACAGCUCAAACACAGACAGAUCUUCUAGAGCCGAGGGAAUUUCUUUUCGCAGAAGCCAUUACUCCCCCCGAGAGAAGGCUGCAAAGCUGGGAAGCCCAGGGUGUGCUCCUCCCGCCCUUUUGGACCCCCGGGCUUGCACCGGCUGCACUCUGAGAACCAGCUGCGCGCGGAGCGGUGCAAUGCAGCACCCACCCUGCGAGCCUGGCAAUUGCUUGUCAUUAAAAGAAAAAAAAAUUACGGAGGGCUCCGGGGGUGUGUGUUGGGGAGGGGAGACCGAUGCUUCUAACCCAGCCCCCGCUUU